AUUGAACGCUGGCGGCAUGCUUUACACAUGCAAGUCGAACGGUAACAGGCCUUCGGGUGCUGACGAGUGGCGGACGGGUGAGUAAUGCAUCGGAACGUACCCAGAGGUGGGGGAUAACGCAGCGAAAGCUGUGCUAAUACCGCAUGUGAUCUGAGGAUGAAAGCGGGGGACCGAGCAGCAAUGUUUGGCCUCGCGCCUUUGGAGCGGCCGAUGUCGGAUUAGCUAGUUGGUGGGGUAAAGGCCUACCAAGGCGACGAUCCGUAGCUGGUCUGAGAGGACGACCAGCCACACUGGGACUGAGACACGGCCCAGACUCCUACGGGAGGCAGCAGUGGGGAAUUUUGGACAAUGGGCGCAAGCCUGAUCCAGCAAUGCCGCGUGCGGGAAGAAGGCCUUCGGGUUGUAAACCGCUUUUGGCAGGAACGAAACGGUGUCCGCUAAUACCGGGCGCUAAUGACGGUACCUGCAGAAUAAGCACCGGCUAACUACGUG
Molecule: ribosomal RNA, 492 nt
Filed under: uncultured bacterium
Lineage: Bacteria
Description: partial 16S ribosomal RNA
Rfam family: Bacterial small subunit ribosomal RNA
Source: RNAcentral